AACGCGAAGAACCUUACCUGGAUUUGACAUGCAUUGUGUCUCCGAUGAAAGUCGGAUAGUGUUGAAACAUACACGCCUUGCACAGGUGCUGCAUGGCUGUCGUCAGCUCGUGUCGUGAGAUGUUGGGUUAAGUCCCGCAACGAGCGCAACCCUCAUCCUCAGUUGCCAUCGGGUCAAGCCGGGCACUCUGGGGAAACUGCCGGUGACAAGCCGGAGGAAGGCGGGGAUGACGUCAAGUCCUCAUGGCCCUUAUGGGCUGGGCUACACACGUGCUACAAUGGCGGUGACAGAGGGCGGCAAGGGGGCGACCUCGAGCCAAUCUCGAAAAGCCGUCUCAGUUCGGAUUGUUCUCUGCAACUCGAGAGCAUGAAGUCGGAAUCGCUAGUAAUCGCGGAUCAGCACGCCGCGGUGAAUACGUUCCCGGGCCUUGUACACACCGCGCAUA
Molecule: ribosomal RNA, 445 nt
Filed under: uncultured bacterium
Lineage: Bacteria
Description: bacterial SSU rRNA
Rfam family: Bacterial small subunit ribosomal RNA
Source: RNAcentral